UUUGAUCCUGGCUCAGGAUGAACGCUGGCGGCGUGCUUAACACAUGCAAGUCGAACGAUGAAGCUUCCUGCUUGCAGGAAGUGGAUUAGUGGCGAACGGGUGAGUAUCACGUGAGCAACCUGCCCUUGACUCUGGGAUAAGCCUGGGAAACUGGGUCUAAUACCGGAUAUAACCUCUUACCGCAUGGUGAGUGGUGGAAAGCUUUUGCGGUCUUGGAUGGGCUCGCGGCCUAUCAGCUUGACGGUGAGGUAGUGGCUCACCGUGGCGAUGACGGGUAGCCGGCCUGAGAGGGUGACCGGCCACACUGGGACUGAGACACGGCCCAGACUCCUACGGGAGGCAGCAGUGGGGAAUAUUGCACAAUGGGCGAAAGCCUGAUGCAGCGACGCCGCGUGCGGGAUGACGGCCUUCGGGUUGUAAACCGCUUUCAGCAGGGAAGAAGCGCAAGUGACGGUACCUGCAGAAGAAGCGCCGGCUAACUACGUG
RNAcentral lists this ribosomal RNA (486 nucleotides) under uncultured Nesterenkonia sp. RNAcentral's name for it is "bacterial SSU rRNA". It matches the Rfam family "Bacterial small subunit ribosomal RNA", at positions 12 to 507 of the family's 1533-position model. Lineage: Bacteria; Bacillati; Actinomycetota; Actinomycetes; Micrococcales; Micrococcaceae. The record is from RNAcentral.